This 253-nucleotide ribosomal RNA is filed under the name uncultured bacterium. Its description in RNAcentral is "partial 16S ribosomal RNA". It matches the Rfam family "Bacterial small subunit ribosomal RNA", at positions 524 to 776 of the family's 1533-position model. The record is from RNAcentral.
UACGUAGGGUGCGAGCGUUGUCCGGAAUCAUUGGGCGUAAAGGGCGCGUAGGUGGCGGGACAAGCGUGCGGUGAAAGCCUGGGGCUCAACCCCGGGUCGGCCGUGCGAACUGUUUUGCUUGAGCACUGUAGAGGCAGGCGGAAUUCCGGGUGUAGCGGUGGAAUGCGUAGAGAUCCGGAAGAACACCGGUGGCGAAGGCGGCCUGCUGGGCAGUAGCUGACACUGAGGCGCGACAGCGUGGGGAGCAAACAGG